UACGGGGGGGGCAAGCGUUGUUCGGAAUUACUGGGCGUAAAGGGCUCGUAGGCGGCCAACUAAGUCAGACGUGAAAUCCCUCGGCUUAACCGGGGAACUGCGUCUGAUACUGGAUGGCGUUGAGUUUGGGGAGAGGGAUGCGGAAUUCCAGGGUGUACGCGGUCGAAAUGCGUAGAAUAUCUGGAGGAACACCAUGGCGAAGGCAGCUGCGUGGG
This 215-nucleotide ribosomal RNA is filed under the name uncultured bacterium. RNAcentral's name for it is "partial 16S ribosomal RNA". It matches the Rfam family "Bacterial small subunit ribosomal RNA", at positions 524 to 733 of the family's 1533-position model. The record is from RNAcentral.